UCUUUUAGCGUAGACGCAGUUCGUGUUUAGAAAUCGGGCACGAACGUUCGUCCCAUGUGUGUUUCGGGGAGGUUCGUGAGCAUUCGGUUGGCAUCCAGUCGACGGUGGGUGGGCAGUUAGGAAAGUAAAUAGGCGGUAGGUUGGAGAGGGGUUAACCCGAAUUGUAGUCAUCGGUUGGUAAGGUGGGGAUAGACAGAGGGUGAAAGAGAGAGAGAGAAGGCGUUAAGAUCGUAAAGAGAAUGGUGGAGAGACAGGGAUGGAAGAGAAAGAUAGAGGAUGAUAGAGGAGGAGUGGGGAUGAAGUUUGCGUGGUGAACGGCGCGACUGCAGAAACGUGUCGCCCGAGAGCCAGUGACAGACAAGAUGGCGAUAGGGCUUAUGCGGUGAGCGAGCGAGAUAGAUAUAGAAAAGAAGAAAACGAAGAGAGGGAGAAAGACAGAGAUAGAGAGAGAGAGAGAGAGAGAGAGAGAAAGAAUAAGAGAGAAUCAAGACGUGAGUGCAGCUCAGCACGACGACACGUCGCAAAGUAGCGCGCGCGUUCUGCUUACAGUGUUAAAGGAACACGUUUUUAUCGAGUAUUAGUUAUUAAAGGUCCAAGGAUAGUUAUCGUUGGUCAGUUUGUCGCAACUUUUAGUCAAAAUCGUCCAUUGUCGUUAUUAAAAAUUGAAGGUUUGGCAUACUGGUGCAUGUUCCGUCCAGGAUCGUCCCGAUCAUGGAGCAUUUGCCGGCGUCGACCGCGAGACGUCGCGGUCAUCAGCAUCACCCGCGUCACUCGACACGGAGACGUCUCGAGGCAUCCGGCAGAGGACCCGCGCAGUGUGGCCCUGCCGGUAUAACAACAACAAACAAUAAUACUAAUAACAAUAACAACAACAACAAUAACAAUAUCCUCCUUGAGGAUCAUACAGGGUUCCCCGAGACGACAACCUCUUUGGGCUCCCAUUGGUUGCGAGAUUCUUUGUCGAAAAGAAUCGAAGCUAAUAACGAUGAUGUCAAAUCGAACAAAUCUACGAAAACUAUCAGUAAAGAUACUACGACGGCAACUAAAACUAUUUCAGAGAUUACGAUUAUUGGGACAAAUGAAAAGAAAGUUGAGAAUAAUGAGAAUUUGGACGUCCGAUCAAGGCUCGCGCAGUGUAGCCCGGACGUCCAGUUUGAAGUUCGAAAGGACAAGGAAGAUAACGUAGAUAUCGAUAAGGAUACGAACAUUGAUAAAGAUAAUGGUCAUAACAAGGAGAAAGAUAAAAAGAAGAAAGCCGAUAAUCGUCGUAGGACGAAGGAUUUAAAAGGCACUGAUCUGACGCGCAAACUUAGGCUCGUUAAUGCACCACGUGCUUGGGACACCGAACGAACCGUCGUAAUCAAGGACGAUGGGAAAGAAAGUAAUAAAAUAAUUAACGACUUGCUGUUGGACGAAGUAGAAGAAGAAAUAGACGAUGAAAUCGAUUACGAUGACAACGAAAUGAAAGAGAAAUUUUUCCUCGACAGACUCGAGUCUGAGCACGCGGUCGCGAGGGCUCGAGGUGAUGGAAAUUCCGACGACGAAUCAACUAAUGUCGAAGAGGACCCUGAAAUAGCCGAGUUGGCUAAACUCAGGUGUCCCAGCGAAAGGGCCGAAGUACAAGCUGAAAGAGAAGCAAGAAGAAGAAAAAGAUGUGCUGAUUAUCCUGGACUCGCAUUUGGCUCUUCCAUAUUCUCCAGCGACACCAUGAUGAAAUUCAGUCUAAUCAGGAACGAAUUACAGAAUAUCAUGGGCAAUCAACUGAAGCGGGCCGAAUCCGAAGUUGCUGCACUCAAUCGUCGUAUUCAACUUUUGGAAGAAGACCUCGAAAGAUCCGAGGAACGUCUUGCUACUGCCACUGCCAAAUUGGCAGAGGCAUCUCAGGCAGCAGAUGAAAGCGAACGAGCCCGCAAGAUUCUCGAGAACCGCAGCUUGGCGGAUGAAGAGCGUAUGGACGCCCUUGAGAAUCAGUUGAAGGAGGCAAGGUUCCUAGCCGAAGAAGCUGACAAGAAAUACGAUGAGGUUGCCCGUAAAUUGGCCAUGGUCGAGGCCGAUCUUGAGCGUGCCGAGGAACGCGCCGAGGCCGGAGAGUCGUCGCGAGGAAACUAGUCAUGAUGGAGCAGGACCUUGAAAGGGCCGAGGAAAAGGCAGAGUUGUCGGAAGCCAAAAUCGUCGAGCUUGAGGAAGAAUUGCGCGUGGUCGGUAAUAACCUGAAAUCCCUCGAGGUCUCGGAAGAAAAG
RNAcentral lists this unclassified non-coding RNA (2240 nucleotides) under Polistes canadensis. RNAcentral describes it as "tropomyosin, transcript variant X16". The record is from RNAcentral. Lineage: Eukaryota; Metazoa; Arthropoda; Insecta; Hymenoptera; Vespidae.